RNAcentral lists this non-coding RNA (140 nucleotides) under Aliicoccus persicus. Its description in RNAcentral is "glmS glucosamine-6-phosphate activated ribozyme". It matches the Rfam family "glmS glucosamine-6-phosphate activated ribozyme aptamer". Rfam says of the family: This entry contains a glucosamine-6-phosphate activated ribozyme that is found in the mRNA for GlmS. GlmS is an enzyme that uses fructose-6-phosphate and glutamine to generate glucosamine-6-phosphate. Lineage: Bacteria; Bacillati; Bacillota; Bacilli; Caryophanales; Staphylococcaceae. The record is from RNAcentral.
UCGGAAUAGCGCCUGGGCAUUUAUAUGCUGACGAGGAGGACAGUUAUCGACAAUCGGCGGAUGCUGUCCCGGAUACUAAAGUAUUCGUUAUAUUAUCUGUAAAACUAAAGAGUAAUCUUUAGGACAAAAGGAUAAUCAAU